UUAGUUUUUGAAAAUAGCCAUAAGAUUUAUUAAUGCAAUUACAUUACAAUCAUGUACAAUAAUUUAUUUUAAAUAGAUUUUAAUUAUUCAUUUUAAUUAAUUUGGUUUCAACUCUUUCUUUUGAUCUUUCUUUAAUAUUUUUCAAUGUCUUCUUCUUCUAAGCCUAGUGUUUACUGGUAAUGGUUUUGGAAUGUCCAGUGUUGAACAAUAAUUCAUCAGUCUGGCUUGUUGGAUGAACAAUCCAUUCAGGAUUAUGAAGUUUAUGUUGCUGAUGAUCAUCAUAAUGAUGUGUUGGUCAAAAAGCUAUAAAAAUAGCCAAAAGUGGUACAUCAUCUCUCAAACUUCUUAAAAAUAUGGCCAAAGCCUCUGUUUGGUGGCAAAGUCAUCCAUUAUAAAAGUGUUGUACUCUUCUAACCUCAAUGAAAACCCGAAUCUAGUUAGAUUGUGGCAUGUGGUUACAACUGAAUUUUUUAAUUUAUGGACACCUCCAUGUAUUUAACUGCUGAUAUCAUGAGUUUUGCUGUCAUCCCUUGACUCGUGAUGUUAAUGUCUACUAUUGUCAAAAAGCAAACCUCAACGCCCAACAAUCAAUUAAUCAAAUUCAAAUCUAAAUGCCAAUCUUUUAUUUCGCUUGGUUUGAUGGAUUGGAUAAUGUGUAGUCUUUAUUAUUCAAAGUUAUCAGUUUAAAUUCAAAGCCAUCCAGGAUUGUUUUGAACCAGCCUCAACGUUUAAUCUCAUUCAGUUUUAAUUAACUGUUCUGAUUUAUGUCAACUUAAUUUCAUAUUUCAAUCUCAACUAUUGACAACAAUGUUAUUUGGAAUGCCUUUUGUUGUAAACAGUGCUGAAAAAUUACCUUUAAUCUACUCUGUUAAAUUAACCUUACACAAUUGAAUUUGACACUUUAACUUCAAUCUAGUUGACAUCUUAUCAAAGAGUUAUUUUAAAAAAAGUGCAAUCUUUGCAUUCUUUACAAUGCAACUCAAUUAUUGUUUCCAUUCCUGAGUUAUACUGUUGCUGUUAACAGAUGAUUGAUCAAACUCCUCGAGAAACUUACAUUGGAAUUGUAAAUUGGUUCUCAAAAAAGAGUCCGAAAAUCAGAUACUGUAUGAUUAAACGAUUAAAUCACAAUAGAGUGGACACUAGAAAUAGCAAAGCAAACUUGAUGGUUCAACAAGAUUCACUCGACCAGAUAAUCAACUGUCUUUGAAUUAAGAUAAACACAAAACUGGAAAAUAAAUGAUGAGAAUAGUUUUGACUACAAUAGCAGAUGAAGCUGUUGCGAAAAAAGUAUUAGCUCAUUGAAAUAAGCUAAACAAACAAUUGGGUUGAAAUCACGUUGGAUUGAUGAUGGUUAUGACAAUAACGAGUAAAAAUAUCAUGGAAAGAUUUCUGUUAUGACAAUGUUGUCAUAAUAAUGUGGCUGGUAUGUAAAUGGCAACAAAAAUAUAUGUAUUUCUGAGACUAAAUAUGACAGAUGCAAAAGAAUAUCAAUGUUUGAAAAGGCAGAAUCACCAUACGUAAGAUUUAAAAUCUUGAAGCCAGAAAAAGGUUAAACUUGAUGACAUAAUGAAUUUUCAAUGUGUUUAAACAUUUAAAGAUUCAAACAUUUCAGUCUAUAAAUUGUAAGGUAAGGUAACAUUUGAAGACUGUAGCAUAAUAAAAGUAUAAUAUUCAAACUUCUGGUUAAAUCAGUUGUAAGAGGACGAUGUUUAUGUUAACCUACAAUACUCGAUACCAAAUCUAAUGUUUUUGAAGUCAAUUUAAGUGUAAAUUGAUCAUUUCUCAGCUUUAAUCAUCCAUAAAUAACUCUUCAACAUUGGUGAUCACUUUAAGUAUUGAUCAUUCUAAAGGUUUAUAGCAAUUCGGCAAUGAUAAAUGGUCAGCAAUCAAUAGUAAACAAGAAGGCUAAUUCAAUCACCAAGUUAAUUUGAAUGGAAAACACAACAAGCCAAGUUGUCCGUGAAACCUAAAUUGUCUGUCUAAUAACUGUUGUAUCAAGGCUCGAUCUUCAUGUUCAAACAUUACUAAUAGACCAGCCGGAGGCCGGCGUAGUCUUAGCAAGUGAAUUUUUGGGUGUUUGGUUGGAAAUAACAGAACAGAUUCAACCUAAAAGGUUAAUUUUUGCAGCUGAGUAUUUACAAUCUUUGAACUAUGUUUUUGGCACCCAAAAACAGUUUAUCACUAUUUAAAUCUUGUCAUGAGUGAAAGAUUGUUUUUGAGGUCAAGAAAACGAUGUCUCAAAAUUAUAUCACAGGUUUCUGAUUAUAACGCCCGUCAUCGGAUCAAAAUUAUCUUGGUUUCUGACCUGCGUCUCAAUCAUACCUACAAUAAUGCCAAGUUUGAAACUGAUACUGUCUGUGGUUCUUGAGUUACAUUGGUGUAAUUGUUACACUUAACUCAUGUCUUUGCUUCGCUCAGACUAAUUAAUGUAAUCUCGUUCUGAUUACAGUUGAAUUGAGAUUGAUUUUGUUUCUAUCCAAUUGCGAUUAUCCUGCUUUUCAUUUUUCUUCAUUGCUUUUAGGCCUUUUCUGGUUUAAAUUGAGUUGAGUUAAUUAAAAACAUGGAACAAAAAAAUCAAGUGAACACAUAAUUAUCCGAAUUGCCAGGAAAUCAUCAUGAUUGAGUUGCUUGAAUUGUAUGCUGUUGAUGUUGACUGUUAAUGGUUUAAUUUUGAAAAUGUCAACUGCAAAGUGAACCGAAAGUAUCUUUUGUUUGACAUUAAGCUUGAUUUACUGAGAAAACGAGGGAUAAUCUGAAUUAACCAGAAAUAAUGAGAGUUGAUAUAUUCAUAGAAAUGGUAUUUUGAUAAUUGAGAGAGAAAAAAUUGAGAAAAUUGAUCAAUUUUAUUGAUUUUACCAAUUAAUGAUUAUAGUAAACAAGAGCCUGAAUUAUUACUAAUAAUAUUAUUAUUAGACUGGUUUAAGCCUUGACAGGUAAACUGGAAUCCCUGGAUAAAAGUUAUGACUGUGACAAUGCAAAUGAAAGGUAAACCAAUGUUGAUUAAAAACUGAAAU
Molecule: long non-coding RNA, 3014 nt
Organism: Tetranychus urticae (two-spotted spider mite)
Lineage: Eukaryota; Metazoa; Arthropoda; Arachnida; Trombidiformes; Tetranychidae
Source: RefSeq, a predicted model, not a curated record